This 701-nucleotide unclassified non-coding RNA is filed under the name Melitaea cinxia (Glanville fritillary). RNAcentral describes it as "misc RNA ENSMCXG00005019374.1". Lineage: Eukaryota; Metazoa; Arthropoda; Insecta; Lepidoptera; Nymphalidae. The record is from RNAcentral.
AAAAUAGUGAGGGCACCUUUUACUAUGAUUUAAAUGGCGUGAUUACGUUAUGUGAGAGCGAUGAGUCACUAUUUUCUUAACGGGAAUAGACAAAAAAUCGAGUUAAGUAUCAAGCCUGACAAGCUGUUAACGUUAAACCUACAUCUAAGCACUAGGAAGAUUCGUAAUUACUUAAGAAUUAUUUUAAUAAAUUAAUAAUUAAAGUAAAACGCAGCGUUCAACCGACUAGUUUGAAAUAUUACUAAUAUAAUUGGAAAUAACUCAAAUCGACAACAUUAUUUUGAUAAUUUUUGAAUUACCUCUGAAUGAAUUUUUCGAAAUUGCACAGUAAUAACAAAUAUUAUUUUUUGUUCUUUUUUUUAAUUGAAUGAGAUUAUUAAAAAAAAUCCAAUUGUGAAUUAAAAAAUCGAAAUAUAUAAUGAAAUAAUAAAUUUUUAAUAAAAUUUUACUUUAUAUUAACAAAUUCAUAUUGUAUGCUGCGUUUUAAAAAUAAAUUAUGAGUAGUAUUUAUUUAAUUAAGGCGACUCCAUCAACCUUUACCGUACGUCCCUUGUCCCUUCCUCAGAAAACAAUCUUAAUACAUAAACAUAUAAAAUAUGUACAUAAUGAAAUGUAAAUGUGUGUGAAAUGAAUGAAUGAAUGUUAUUUUUUUAAUGAAUACAAUAUUAAACAUUUUCGUUAAAAGAAAAUUAUAAUAUAUU